AGUAGCUAGCUGACCUUGACUGAAUUGGAAAAGCUAAAGUAAUCGGGUCUGGUUAGUACUCAGAUGGAGGAACCACCUGGAAUAGCAGGGCUGGCAAGUC
Molecule: ribosomal RNA, 100 nt
Filed under: Notechis scutatus (mainland tiger snake)
Lineage: Eukaryota; Metazoa; Chordata; Lepidosauria; Squamata; Elapidae
Source: RNAcentral